CUCUGUAGGUCUGUGGGGGUGUUUUCUAUGUGAAUCUCUUCUUUCAUAGACACUGUCUUAUGAGCUUUGCCACUUUGGUGUUCUGGACCCUUGGCUGUAUCUCCUUUAGUCAGGAGGCUUUAGUCAGGAGGCUCCUCCUCCUGGGUCUCUGCUCCCUGCACUGCAGGCAGCCUGGAAAUCAUCAGCAUAGCAAGCUCUGGUGUCUGGGCUUACCUCCCUUGCUUCUUGCUCUCAGGGGUCCACUUGUAUCUUUGUUGUUGUUACAGCCGGAAAGAUAAAUUUGGUCCUUAGUGCUUCGUCUUGGCCCCUUGGUUUUGUUUGUUUUUUAAUCCUGCCUGUAUCAUCCUGUAGGAAAGCAUUCAAGCUGCUGGUGGAAAUAAGACGAACUGACUGUUGGGAAAAAUAACCCAUAUCUUUCUGAGAUGGAAGGCUUUGGAUGUAGAGUCCUCUGUGAAUUGAAUGAAGAGGCAUCCUGGAGUGAGAAUCUGCAAUGGACUGAUAACUGGCUACAGCUCGGCUACACCAGAUGCAAAACAGGAUUUGUUUUUGAGUGCGAUGGGUGUGGCUUGUCUUUUCCAUGUGAUUAGAUUAGGGGAUUUGCAGGUGGGUCCGACUACUGGGUUCUUCUGUUUUUGAGCCAGAUGUGCUCACAAACACAAGUGGUGCACAUUAACUGUGUGCGUAUUUGCAUGAAUAAGUUUCUCCAUCAUUAAAAGCCAAGGACGGGAAUACUGAAAACACCGUUCUUUCUUCAUUUCAGAAAUAUGAUGAGGUGAC
This 777-nucleotide long non-coding RNA is filed under the name Rattus norvegicus (Norway rat). RNAcentral's name for it is "long non-coding RNA NONRATT015093". Lineage: Eukaryota; Metazoa; Chordata; Mammalia; Rodentia; Muridae. The record is from RNAcentral.